Molecule: ribosomal RNA, 927 nt
Filed under: Triticum aestivum (bread wheat)
Lineage: Eukaryota; Viridiplantae; Streptophyta; Magnoliopsida; Poales; Poaceae
Description: partial small subunit ribosomal RNA
Source: RNAcentral
AUGGCUGAUCGAUGGUGCUUGUCAGAGCGACAAGGCCAUCAUCUGCAAUCCAAUGGGGCAAUUGAUCUUGAACUGGAUGGUGGGACUGCAAGUAUUCAUCCAGAAAUAGGACUCACAAAAGUUAAUACUCGAGCCAAAUGGAGUCACCAAAUGAAGUUGUUCCUUGUUAGACUCCUAAAAGAUCACGAUGUGCCUGGUUUUCGGACACAUAAUGCUUGGAGUAAGGAGGCAUGGAGAAAUAUUGUUUCUCAACUAAAUCAAAAGUUUGAUCAAUCAUUUACUCUCAACCAAGUCAAAUAAAAGGAGCAAGAUCUGACGAGAGACUAUCAAAGUGUUCAAGAAUUGUUGGAUCAAAGUGGCUUUGGAUGGGAUAAGGACAGAAAAAUGGUUGACGCACCAGAUAGUCGUUAUGCUGAAGGGAGAACUCGUCAAGGCUUGGACCAUUAUACUAGGAAGAGGAAGCAUGCACCGGUUCCUUCAUCACAGUCAACACAAGUGACUGAUCUGUAUCAAUCACCAUCACCUACCAUGCCAGCUGCCGGUGAGUCAGAUAUGCAGUUUACUUUAGAAAAACUUGAAGAGUUCAAUGUGGAUUCUCCCCCGCACCUAUCUACACCUAUUCAGCAUGUGCAAGCCCCACCAAGAUCUACACAAAUGGACAAACAUGACACUAAGCGUGGGAAACAGAAACGUGGUGCUAAUGACGACUUCCAUGAGAAGUAUCUAAAACUGAAGAAGGAAGAAAUUGAUCGAUUUGCUGCAAUUGAGGAUAAGAAGCUAGAGGACCCCUACUCCAUCAAUAAGUGCAUCACAGCAAUUGAAGGGUUGGAAGGUCUACAACUAGGAGAUAUGUUGAUGGCAUCAGAUAUCUUCAAAUGCAAGGAGAACAGGGAAGUUUUCUUGUCAUACUCUACUAAUGAACUAUGA